RNAcentral lists this ribosomal RNA (500 nucleotides) under uncultured bacterium. RNAcentral's name for it is "partial 16S ribosomal RNA". It matches the Rfam family "Bacterial small subunit ribosomal RNA", at positions 30 to 523 of the family's 1533-position model. The record is from RNAcentral.
AUUGAACGCUGGCGGAAUGCUUUACACAUGCAAGUCGAACGAUGAACCUUAGCUUGCUAGGGGGAUUAGUGGCGAACGGGUGAGUAACAUAUCGGAACGUACCUAGUAAUGGGGGAUAACUAGUCGAAAGAUUAGCUAAUACCGCAUACGCCCUGAAGGGGAAAGUAGGGGAUUUUCGGACCUUACGUUAUUAGAGCGGCCGAUAUCUGAUUAGAUAGUUGGUGGGGUAAAGGCCUACCAAGGCGACGAUCAGUAGCUGGUCUGAGAGGACGGCCAGCCACACUGGAACGGGGACACGGUCCAGACUCCUACGGGAGGCAGCAGUGGGGAAUUUUGGACAAUGGGGGCAACCCUGAUCCAGCCAUUCCGCGUGAGUGAAGAAGGCCUUCGGGUUGUAAAGCUCUUUCGCAAGGGAAGAAAACUCACAUUCUAAUAAAGUGUGAGGCUGACGGUACCUUGAUAAGAAGCACCGGCUAACUACGUGCCAGCAGCCGCCGUAA